GUUGCCCUUGGUUUGGAAAUGCUAAAGCUGUGUUGCCUAAUUAAAGUUUUGCCUUGCCUUCUAUAUAAUUAAAAGUCUAAUCUUCACCAAUUUCUGUUUGCGCUUUACAUCGAUUUUUAGAAAAAAACGCUACCACGUACGGCUGUGAUUUUUGGCCAUCUUACUCAGAGUCCCCCUCCGCUCAUCAGGUGCCAAGGAUUUUUCCCAUCGAUG
Molecule: long non-coding RNA, 213 nt
Organism: Amblyraja radiata (thorny skate)
Lineage: Eukaryota; Metazoa; Chordata; Chondrichthyes; Rajiformes; Rajidae
Exons: 2
Source: RefSeq, a predicted model, not a curated record